Lagopus muta (rock ptarmigan) is the source of this 1120-nucleotide long non-coding RNA. RefSeq lists it as uncharacterized. The transcript has 6 exons. The record is from RefSeq and is a predicted model, not a curated record. NCBI's taxonomy places the organism in Eukaryota, Metazoa, Chordata, Aves, Galliformes, Phasianidae.
CACAACAGAGUCUAUCCCAGCUUUGCAAAGUCCUAGUCAUCUAUUUUCCUAGGCAGGACACCUUCUCCAGGCUGGCAUGAGAAGUAUCCUGGUUUCUGCAUCCCUUCACUCACUGUCACCGUUGAUUCUUCAUGGGACAUUGUGUGAAGGAGAAAGGUCAUAAGUCACAUCAGGAAUGUACAAUGGACUUCAUGCAAGUCAAGAUAAUCAAGGAGUCUGAAUCUGUCUCCAAUGCUGACAUUGAUUUUGAAACAUUAAGACCAAUGAGAAAGAGAAAAUCUUGACAGAAAGCUCAUCUUCUAGAGGAAGUACUUGGAAUGAGUCUUUUCCUUGUGGACUUAAUCCGUUGUCCUUCAAUAUCAAGUGAGGCUUCCACAGACAAAUGAAAUGGCAGUGCGGCGCAUCUGUUUGCUAUGGAAAGAGCACGAAGUUGUGUGCUCGGGCUGAACACAACAAGAUCUUCUAUGAAAAGAUAACAGGCAGUCUACAGAGAGCAAGAUCUGUUCCACAACAGAGGAUCCUUAGAGUUGUAGUGUUUGCCAUGCUAUCUCAAGCCCUAACCACUUCAUUCUCUGUAAUUUGAUUAUUUGGUCAUGCCCUGGAAUGCAAAGUACAACUCUGAUGUAUUUGUAUAAGCCUAGGCUCUUCAAGUACAGUAAGUAGCUGAAUGAUGUAUGUUAAUGACAUGCUCUCAGUAAUUUUUAUAAUGCGAGAUCUCUGCCCAGAUUUAAUGUUUAAUAUCCCUGGGAUUCACAUUGAAAUUAUUACACACAUUAUGUAUUCCAUUCCUUGGACUUAGAAUUAAUUUCAAAACAGAGCAAAAGUGCAUCCUAUUUGUUUUCUUGAGGGACUUUGCAUCAGUAACAGUCUAUUUAUUCUGGAGUUUCUGAAGUUAGAAAUACCUUUUCCCUUUGCUAUCUUUGAUCUAUCCUGACGAACUGUGCAGAACAUUUCAUUUCUUUGUCUCAUCUCAGUUAUGCCAUUUCCUCAUUCACUUGAAAAAUAUUUAUUCUAGCAAAAUUUACCUCCUUGAGUAAACGACACAGGUUGUUAGAAAACAGUUUCACAGAAUCUUUGACAUAAAGCUGUCUGUAAAAAAUAAACAAACAAACAAACAAAC